RNAcentral lists this ribosomal RNA (497 nucleotides) under uncultured bacterium. RNAcentral's name for it is "partial 16S ribosomal RNA". It matches the Rfam family "Bacterial small subunit ribosomal RNA", at positions 28 to 507 of the family's 1533-position model. The record is from RNAcentral.
GAUGAACGCUGGCGGCGUGCCUAAUACAUGCAAGUCGAGCGAACGGACGAGAAGCUUGCUUCUCUGAUGUUAGCGGCGGACGGGUGAGUAACACGUGGAUAACCUACCUAUAAGACUGGGAUAACUUCGGGAAACCGGAGCUAAUACCGGAUAAUAUUUUGAACCGCAUGGUUCAAAAGUGAAAGACGGUCUUGCUGUCACUUAUAGAUGGAUCCGCGCUGCAUUAGCUAGUUGGUAAGGUAACGGCUUACCAAGGCAACGAUGCAUAGCCGACCUGAGAGGGUGAUCGGCCACACGGGAACUGAGCCACGCUCCCGACUCCUACGGGAGGCACCAGUAGCGAAUCUUCCGCAGUGGGCGAAAGCCUGACGGAGCAACGCCGCGUGAGUGAUGAAGGUCUUCGGAUCGUAAAACUCUGUUAUUAGGGAAGAACAUAUGUGUAAGUAACUGUGCACAUCUUGACGGUACCUAAUCAGAAAGCCACGGCUAACUACGUG